Regulatory RNA element from Ferrimonas marina, 101 nucleotides. It matches the Rfam family "Alpha operon ribosome binding site". From Rfam's summary of the family: The bacterial alpha operon ribosome binding site is surrounded by this complex pseudoknotted structure. Translation of the mRNA produces 4 ribosomal protein products, one of which (S4) acts as a translational repressor by binding to the nested pseudoknot region. The mechanism of repression is thought to involve a conformational switch in the pseudoknot region and ribosome entrapment. NCBI's taxonomy places the organism in Bacteria, Pseudomonadati, Pseudomonadota, Gammaproteobacteria, Alteromonadales, Ferrimonadaceae. The record is from Rfam.
UCUGGUUUGCUGUUGAGUAUCCUACCGGGCUUUUCCCAGUAAACCUUCGGAAAUUGAGGAGUGCUAUAGUGGCCCGUAUCGCUGGCAUUAACAUUCCCGAG